Molecule: ribosomal RNA, 254 nt
Filed under: uncultured bacterium
Lineage: Bacteria
Description: partial 16S ribosomal RNA
Rfam family: Bacterial small subunit ribosomal RNA
Source: RNAcentral
UACGUAGGGACCAAGCGUUGUUCGGAUUUACUGGGCGUAAAGGGCGCGUAGGCGGUAUGACAAGUCACUUGUGAAAUCUCCGGGCUUAACUCGGAACGGCCAAGUGAUACUGUCACGCUAGAGUGCAGAAAGGGCAAUCGGAAUUCUUGGUGUAGCGGUGAAAUGCGUAGAUAUCAAGAGGAACACCUGAGGCGAAGGCGGGUUGCUAGGCUGACACUGACGCUGACAGCGCGAAAGCCAGGGGAGCAAACGGG